RNAcentral lists this ribosomal RNA (225 nucleotides) under uncultured Acinetobacter sp. RNAcentral's name for it is "partial 16S ribosomal RNA". It matches the Rfam family "Bacterial small subunit ribosomal RNA", at positions 568 to 792 of the family's 1533-position model. Lineage: Bacteria; Pseudomonadati; Pseudomonadota; Gammaproteobacteria; Moraxellales; Moraxellaceae. The record is from RNAcentral.
UGCGCAGGCGGUUGUGUAAGACAGGUGUGAAAUCCCCGGGCUUAACUUGGGAAUUGCAUUCGAUACUGGUGAGCUAGAGUAUGGGAGAGGAUGGUAGAAUUCCAGGUGUAGCGGUGAAAUGCGUAGAGAUCUGGAGGAAUACCGAUGGCGAAGGCAGCCAUCUGGCCUAAUACUGACGCUGAGGUACGAAAGCAUGGGGAGCAAACAGGAUUAGAUACCCCCGUA